GACGAACGCUGGCGGCGUGCUUAACACAUGCAAGUCGAACGGAAAGGCCCUGCUUUUGUGGGGUGCUCGAGUGGCGAACGGGUGAGUAACACGUGAGUAACCUGCCCUUGACUUUGGGAUAACUUCGGGAAACUGGGGCUAAUACCGGAUAGGAGCUCUUGCUGCAUGGUGGGGGUUGGAAAGUUUCGGCGGUUGGGGAUGGACUCGCGGCUUAUCAGCUUGUUGGUGGGGUAGUGGCUUACCAAGGCUUUGACGGGUAGCCGGCCUGAGAGGGUGACCGGCCACAUUGGGACUGAGAUACGGCCCAGACUCCUACGGGAGGCAGCAGUGGGGAAUAUUGCACAAUGGGCGGAAGCCUGAUGCAGCAACGCCGCGUGCGGGAUGACGGCCUUCGGGUUGUAAACCGCUUUCGCCUGUGACGAAGCGUGAGUGACGGUAAUGGGUAAAGAAGCACCGGCUAACUACGUG
This 468-nucleotide ribosomal RNA is filed under the name uncultured bacterium. RNAcentral's name for it is "partial 16S ribosomal RNA". It matches the Rfam family "Bacterial small subunit ribosomal RNA", at positions 28 to 507 of the family's 1533-position model. The record is from RNAcentral.